This 253-nucleotide ribosomal RNA is filed under the name uncultured bacterium. RNAcentral describes it as "partial 16S ribosomal RNA". It matches the Rfam family "Bacterial small subunit ribosomal RNA", at positions 524 to 776 of the family's 1533-position model. The record is from RNAcentral.
UACGUAGGGUGCGAGCGUUAAUCGGAAUUACUGGGCGUAAAGCGUGCGCAGGCGGUUGUGCAAGACCGAUGUGAAAUCCCCGGGCUUAACCUGGGAAUGGCGUUGGUGACUGCACGGCUAGAGUGUGUCAGAGGGGGGUAGAAUUCCACGUGUAGCAGUGAAAUGCGUAGAGAUGUGGAGGAAUACCGAUGGCGAAGGCAGCCCCCUGGGAUAACACUGACGCUCAUGCACGAAAGCGUGGGGAGCAAACAGG